Molecule: ribosomal RNA, 271 nt
Filed under: uncultured bacterium
Lineage: Bacteria
Description: partial 16S ribosomal RNA
Rfam family: Bacterial small subunit ribosomal RNA
Source: RNAcentral
UAUUAUUUUAGCGGCGGACGGGUGAGUAACGUGUGGGUAACCUGCCUUUUACUGGGGAAUAAUCACUGGAAACGGUGACUAAUACCGCAUACGGUUCUUGGAAGGCAUCUUCUAGGAAAGAAAGGAUUUAUUCGGUAAAAGAUGGGCCCGCAUCUGAUUAGCUAGUUGGUGAGAUAACAGCCCACCAAGGCGACGAUCAGUAGCCGACCUGAGAGGGUGACCGGCCACAUUGGGACUGAGACACGGCCCAAACUCCUACGGAAGGCAGCAG